This 497-nucleotide ribosomal RNA is filed under the name uncultured bacterium. RNAcentral's name for it is "partial 16S ribosomal RNA". It matches the Rfam family "Bacterial small subunit ribosomal RNA", at positions 28 to 507 of the family's 1533-position model. The record is from RNAcentral.
GACGAACGCUGGCGGCGUGCCUAAUACAUGCAAGUAGAACGCUGAAGAGAGGAGCUUGCUCUUCUUGGAUGAGUUGCGAACGGGUGAGUAACGCGUAGGUAACCUGCCUGGUAGCGGGGGAUAACUAUUGGAAACGAUAGCUAAUACCGCAUAAAAUUGAUUAUUGCAUGAUGCUUAAUUGAAAGAUGCAACUGCAUCACUACCAGAUGGACCUGCGUUGUAUUAGCUAGUUGGUGAGGUAACGGCUCACCAAGGCGACGAUACAUAGCCGACCUGAGAGGGUGAUCGGCCAAACUGGGACUGAGACACGGCCCAGACUCCUACGGGAGGCAGCCGUAGGGAAUCUUCGGCAAUGGGGGGAACCCUGACCGAGCAACGCCGCGUGAGUGAAGAAGGUUUUCGGAUCGUAAAGCUCUGUUGUAAGAGAAGAACGGGUGUGAGAGUGGAAAGUUCACACUGUGACGGUACCUGACCAGAAAGGGACGGCUAACUACGUG